GUUAUAGGGUCAAGCGAAUAAGUGCAUGUGGUGGAUGCCUUGGCGAUUACAGGCGAUGAAGGACGCGAUAGCCUGCGAAAAGUUGUGGGGAGCUGGCAAAUAAGCAUUGAUCCACAAAUGUCCGAAUGGGGAAACCCGGCCUUUUAGGUCAUCCUAGACUGAAUACAUAGGU
RNAcentral lists this ribosomal RNA (172 nucleotides) under Pandoraea apista. RNAcentral's name for it is "partial 23S ribosomal RNA". It matches the Rfam family "Bacterial large subunit ribosomal RNA", at positions 1 to 171 of the family's 2925-position model. Lineage: Bacteria; Pseudomonadati; Pseudomonadota; Betaproteobacteria; Burkholderiales; Burkholderiaceae. The record is from RNAcentral.